RNAcentral lists this ribosomal RNA (492 nucleotides) under uncultured bacterium. RNAcentral describes it as "partial 16S ribosomal RNA". It matches the Rfam family "Bacterial small subunit ribosomal RNA", at positions 29 to 507 of the family's 1533-position model. The record is from RNAcentral.
AGUGAACGCUGGCGGUAGGCCUAAUACAUGCAAGUCGAACGGCAGCACAGUAAGCGCUUUUUUUUACGGGUGGCGAGUGGCGGACGGGUGAGGCAUACAUCAGAUUCUACUUUUUCGUGGAGGACAUCGGGGGGACAGAUCUGCUAAUAGAUCAUACGUCGUACGGCAGAGAUCAAGGGAUCAACAGAGCCUUGGCGUUUGAAUGAGCCGGUGCCGGGUUAGAUUAUUGGCGGGGUAAAGUCACACCAAGGCGACGAUCCAUAGCUGGUCUGAGAGGAUGAUCAGCCACACUGGAACUGGGACACGGUCCAGACUCCUACGGGAGGCAGCAGUGGGGAAUAUUCGACAAUGGGCGAAAGCCUGACGGAGCAACGCCGCGUGAGUGAUGAAGGUCUUCGGAUCGUAAAACUCUGUUAUUAGGGAAGAACAUAUGUGUAAGUAACUGUGCACAUCUUGACGGUACCUAAUCAGAAAGCCACGGCUAACUACGUG